GAGGAUAUAGCUCAGUUGGUAGAGUGCUUGCCUUACCUGCAUGUGGCCCUGGGUUCGAUCCCCAGUAUUGUCC
Jaculus jaculus (lesser Egyptian jerboa) is the source of this 73-nucleotide non-coding RNA. The record is from the annotation of a RefSeq genome assembly. Lineage: Eukaryota; Metazoa; Chordata; Mammalia; Rodentia; Dipodidae.